RNAcentral lists this ribosomal RNA (496 nucleotides) under uncultured bacterium. RNAcentral describes it as "partial 16S ribosomal RNA". It matches the Rfam family "Bacterial small subunit ribosomal RNA", at positions 28 to 507 of the family's 1533-position model. The record is from RNAcentral.
GAUGAACGCUGGCGGCGUGCUUAAUACAUGCAAGUCGAGCGAACAGACGAGGAGCUUGUUCCUUUGACGUUAGCGGCGGACGGGUGUGUAACACGUAUGUAACCUACCUAUAAGACUGGGAUACUCCGGGAAAUCGGAGCUAAUACCGGAUAAUAUUUCGAACCCCUUGGUUCGAUAGUGAAAGAUGGCUUUGCUAUCACUUACAGAUGGAUCUGCGCCGUAUUUGUUAGGUGGUACGGUAACGGCUUAUCAAGGCUACGCUACGUAGCCGACUUGAGCGGGUGAUCGGCCACACUGGAGCGGAGACGCGUUCCAGUCUCCUACGACACGCACCAGUAGGGAACCUUCCGCAAUAGGCGAGAGUCUGGCGCAGUAACGCGGCGCAAUGGAUGAAGGUCUUCGGAUCGUAAAACUCUGUUAUUAGGGAAGAACAGACGUGUAAGGAACUGAGCACGUCUUGACGGUAACUGAUCAGAAAGCAACGGCUAACUACGUG